GACGAACGCUGGCGGCGUGCUUAACACAUGCAAGUCGAACGGUGAAGGGACCGGUUUUUGCUGGUUCUGGAUGAGUGGCGAACGGGUGAGUAACACGUGAGUAACCUGCCCCCUUCUUCUGGAUAACCGCAUGAAAGUGUGGCUAAUACGGGAUAUUCUGCGCCUGCUGCAUGGUGGGUGUGGGAAAGAUAUUGUUUCGGUGGGGGAUGGGCUCGCGGCCUAUCAGCUUGUUGGUGGGGUGAUGGCCUACCAAGGCGGUGACGGGUAGCCGGCCUGAGAGGGUGGACGGUCACACUGGGACUGAGACACGGCCCAGACUCCUACGGGAGGCAGCAGUGGGGAAUAUUGCACAAUGGGCGCAAGCCUGAUGCAGCGACGCCGCGGGAGGGAUGGAGGCCUUCGGGUUGUAAACCUCUUUCGCCAGUGAAGCAGGCCUGUCCCUUUUGUGGGUGGGUUGACGGUAGCUGGAUAAGAAGCGCCGGCUAACUACGUG
This 493-nucleotide ribosomal RNA is filed under the name uncultured bacterium. Its description in RNAcentral is "partial 16S ribosomal RNA". It matches the Rfam family "Bacterial small subunit ribosomal RNA", at positions 28 to 507 of the family's 1533-position model. The record is from RNAcentral.